UGGGGAAUAUUGGACAAUGGGCGAAAGCCUGAUCCAGCCAUGCCGCGUGUGUGAAGAAGGUCUCCGGAUUGUAAAGCACUUUAAGUUGGGAGGAAGGGCAGUAAGCGAAUACCUUGCUGUUUUGACGUUACCGACAGAAUAAGCACCGGCUAACUCUGUGCCAGCAGCCGCGGUAAUACAGAGGGUGCAAGCGUUAAUCGGAAUUACUGGGCGUAAAGCGCGCGUAGGUGGUUCGUUAAGUUGAAUGUGAAAGCCCCGGGCUCAACCUGGGAACUGCAUGCAAAACUGGCGAGCGAGAGUAGGGCAGAGGGUGGUGGAAUUUCCUGUGUAGCGGUGAAAUGCGUAGAUAACGGAAGGAACACGAGUGGCGAAGGCGACCACCUGGGCUCAUACUGACACUGAGGUGCGAAAGCGUGGGGAGCAAACAGG
This 429-nucleotide ribosomal RNA is filed under the name Pseudomonadota bacterium. RNAcentral's name for it is "Proteobacteria bacterium partial 16S ribosomal RNA". It matches the Rfam family "Bacterial small subunit ribosomal RNA", at positions 355 to 776 of the family's 1533-position model. The record is from RNAcentral. Lineage: Bacteria; Pseudomonadati; Pseudomonadota.